RNAcentral lists this ribosomal RNA (739 nucleotides) under Salmonella enterica subsp. enterica serovar Infantis. RNAcentral describes it as "partial 23S ribosomal RNA". It matches the Rfam family "Bacterial large subunit ribosomal RNA", at positions 2064 to 2802 of the family's 2925-position model. RNAcentral also lists the same sequence under 1 other name. Lineage: Bacteria; Pseudomonadati; Pseudomonadota; Gammaproteobacteria; Enterobacterales; Enterobacteriaceae. The record is from RNAcentral.
GUGUACCCGCGGCAAGACGGAAAGACCCCGUGAACCUUUACUAUAGCUUGACACUGAACAUUGAGCCUUGAUGUGUAGGAUAGGUGGGAGGCUUUGAAGUGUGGACGCCAGUCUGCAUGGAGCCGACCUUGAAAUACCACCCUUUAAUGUUUGAUGUUCUAACGUGGACCCGUGAUCCGGGUUGCGGACAGUGUCUGGUGGGUAGUUUGACUGGGGCGGUCUCCUCCUAAAGAGUAACGGAGGAGCACGAAGGUUGGCUAAUCCUGGUCGGACAUCAGGAGGUUAGUGCAAUGGCAUAAGCCAGCUUGACUGCGAGCGUGACGGCGCGAGCAGGUGCGAAAGCAGGUCAUAGUGAUCCGGUGGUUCUGAAUGGAAGGGCCAUCGCUCAACGGAUAAAAGGUACUCCGGGGAUAACAGGCUGAUACCGCCCAAGAGUUCAUAUCGACGGCGGUGUUUGGCACCUCGAUGUCGGCUCAUCACAUCCUGGGGCUGAAGUAGGUCCCAAGGGUAUGGCUGUUCGCCAUUUAAAGUGGUACGCGAGCUGGGUUUAGAACGUCGUGAGACAGUUCGGUCCCUAUCUGCCGUGGGCGCUGGAGAACUGAGGGGGGCUGCUCCUAGUACGAGAGGACCGGAGUGGACGCAUCACUGGUGUUCGGGUUGUCAUGCCAAUGGCACUGCCCGGUAGCUAAAUGCGGAAGAGAUAAGUGCUGAAAGCAUCUAAGCACGAAACUUGCCCCGA